AGAAACCUAAAGAAACAGAGAGACCUGUGAUUUUUCUGUGCUUAGGUUUGAUGAAGAGUGGAUGGUUUUGGAGAAAUCAGAUUGGAGGGUGAAAAGGGUCUGAUCGAAUGGGGAAACCCUGGGGGACUGAGCAAGGCCUGUUUGCUCAGGCUCCUCCCUGUGACCCUGGUGCCUUCAGAGCAGGGGUAUAAAGGGAGGAAGAGUGUCGAGUCUCGUGCCAUGAACAGAUUCCAUUUCUGCAGAGGACAGUGUGCAUGGGGACACCCUCUGAGGCUUUGGAGCCACCCGGGAAGGAGGCUGGCUGCUCACAGGCCUCCACCGGCCUCCUGGUGCAUGUUCUUGGUGGGUGAGCAUGCCCUCACCUACACGGAUACUCCAGGAUCCCAGCCACUGCUGUCAGGCCAGAAGGAGCAGAGGCCAGCAUCAGCCUCCAGCCACCGACAAGACCAGGCUAGCUUUGCUGGGUCACCCCCUGGGAGAGAAUUUUAGACAACUUCUGGAAGCACUUUUGAUAAUUCUCCCCCUUCAUGACUGCAUUGAUUGAUCAUCUCUGAGCAGAGGCACGCCUGGCACGCUGCACCCAGCGCAGUGAGUCUCGGAAGGCAAAGGACCUUGUGAGAGGGAAACCUUCUCUCAUCUAACGUUACCGACUCUGCACCUUUCAGGCUCUGAAGCUGCCCGCACAGUAGGAUCACAGGUCGGGGAUGCCUUCAGAUGAAGGCACAAAUAACCGACGUUAGGUCCUUUCCUGAGAGCAGAUGGGAUGGGGGAAGGGUGAGGUGCUUGUGCUUGUGGGGAGAGACCUGGCAGGCCUGUAAGCUGGGCUGCUUUUGUCCUGGGAAAUGGUUUCCCCCGGCUGCUUUCCCCAGGCAGGCGGGAGCCACCUGGGGGCUGUCCUUGACUCUUGAGCUGGGCCGAGCGCUCCGAGAUCUUGCCAUUCCUUCCGUUUGUUCUCUGCACUCUCCUUCCCUGGGAGCAGCUCAUGAACUGAGGCAGAGGUGGCUUCUCUCAUCAACUCCAGGGCAUGGCUAUUUACUUAGUUAAGGGGUUAGAAUGCUAGAAAAACAACUCUCUUACCUGAGUGUAAUCUGUAAAA
Rhinopithecus roxellana (golden snub-nosed monkey) is the source of this 1096-nucleotide long non-coding RNA. RefSeq lists it as uncharacterized. Lineage: Eukaryota; Metazoa; Chordata; Mammalia; Primates; Cercopithecidae. The record is from RefSeq and is a predicted model, not a curated record. The transcript has 3 exons.